AUUGGUUGAAAAUCACCUGUGGCUUUGGUUGUGGCUAUGGGUAAAACUUGCUGCCCAGAGCCACUGGGAGCCUCAGCUCACCACCCACUCCUCUGUGUGGUGAGGUGAAACCCAGACCCCGACAUGU
Small nucleolar RNA from Bison bison bison, 127 nucleotides. The record is from Ensembl. NCBI's taxonomy places the organism in Eukaryota, Metazoa, Chordata, Mammalia, Artiodactyla, Bovidae.